Long non-coding RNA from Sinocyclocheilus rhinocerous, 347 nucleotides. RefSeq lists it as uncharacterized. The transcript is spliced from 3 exons. NCBI's taxonomy places the organism in Eukaryota, Metazoa, Chordata, Actinopteri, Cypriniformes, Cyprinidae. The record is from RefSeq and is a predicted model, not a curated record.
GCGUACGAGGCAAGGGAUACGGGUUAUGGUCAGUGGCUCUUAUUAAGUUGACCAGGAUAACCUAGAUAAGCAGGUAAGCUGUAGAAAUCAGCGCUCACAAGCGUAACGCACGCAUGCAACUUGCGUAUCAAUACACUUGGGACGGGCGACUUCAGGUUCAGCGCUCACUAAAGGAACCCUUGAGCAUAUCCUGUUGCUGCCCAUACUCAAUGUCAGGCCAAAGAUCAUUUCAUCUGAAGAUAUGCACUCCAUGGACAAAGAUUGGAUGAACAGUCAUGAACACACAUUCCCCAACUUCUGAAAAAAAUAAAAUGCCAUUUUAUUAGGAGGAAAUUUUUUGGCUGUGA